This 497-nucleotide ribosomal RNA is filed under the name uncultured bacterium. RNAcentral's name for it is "partial 16S ribosomal RNA". It matches the Rfam family "Bacterial small subunit ribosomal RNA", at positions 28 to 507 of the family's 1533-position model. The record is from RNAcentral.
GAUGAACGCUGGCGGCGUGCCUAAUACAUGCAAGUCGAGCGAACGGACGAGAAGCUUGCUUCUCUGAUGUUAGCGGCGGACGGGUGAGUAACACGUGGAUAACCUACCUAUAAGACUGGGAUAACUUCGGGAAACCGGAGCUAAUACCGGAUGAUAUUUUGAACCGCAUGGUUCAAAAGUGAAAGACGGUCUUGCUGUCACUUAUAGAUGGAUCCGCGCUGCAUUAGCUAGUUGGUAAGGUAAUGGCUUACCAAGGCAACGAUGCAUAGCCGACCUGAGAGCGUGGGGGGGCACACGUGGACUGAGAAACAGACCGGACUACCACGGGAGGGAGCAGCAGGGGAUGUUCGUGAAUGGGCGACGGCCCGAAAGAGUAAGGUCGCGGGAGUGAUGAUAGUCUUAGGGUACUAAGACUCUGUUAUCAGGGAAGAACAAAAGUGUAAGUAACUGUGCACCUCCGGAAGGUGCCUAAUCAGAAAGACAACGCUAGCCAAGUC